RNAcentral lists this ribosomal RNA (492 nucleotides) under uncultured bacterium. RNAcentral describes it as "partial 16S ribosomal RNA". It matches the Rfam family "Bacterial small subunit ribosomal RNA", at positions 29 to 507 of the family's 1533-position model. The record is from RNAcentral.
AGUGAACGCUGGCGGUAGGCCUAACACAUGCAAGUCGAACGGCAGCACAGUAAGAGCUUGCUCUUACGGGUGGCGAGUGGCGGACGGGUGAGGAAUACAUCGGAAUCUACUUUUUCGUGGGGGAUAACGUAGUGAAACUUACGCUAAUACCGCAUACGACCUACGGGUGAAAGUAGGGGAUCUUCGGACCUUGCGCGAUUGAAUGAGCCGAUGUCGGAUUAGCUAGUUGGCGGGGUAAAGGCCCACCAAGGCGACGAUCCGUAGCUGGUCUGAGAGGAUGAUCAGCCACACUGGAACUGAGACACGGUCCAGACUCCUACGGGAGGCAGCAGUGGGGAAUAUUGGACAAUGGGCGCAAGCCUGAUCCAGCCAUACCGCGUGGGUGAAGAAGGCCUUCGGGUUGUAAAGCCCUUUUGUUGGGAAAGAAAAGCAGCAGGUUAAUACCCCGCUGUUCUGACGGUACCCAAAGAAUAAGCACCGGCUAACUUCGUG